AAUAUUAAUAAUUUAUGGUUUGAUGAAUCAUGCAUUGAGAAAAAUUGUUCAGUUCCUUUUUGUUUAUAUGGAAGGAAAAUUGUGAUGAGGAUUUCAAGACAAAUGCAAACCCGGAUAGGCCAUUCUUUGAAUGUCCUAUUUGGAAGGUAAUGUUCAAAUGUGCAUUUUUUGUUAAUUUCUUUCUUUUGUUCCGUUUGAGGGAUUUUACUAAAAAAAAGUUAAAUUACUUUGUUUUGAUUCUUCUAUUGUUAUGAUUUCUAUCGCCAGUUAUAAUUUCUUCUUUCAUUGAUGAUUUGGGCUAUUGUGUUUCAGAAAGAGGGUUAUUGUUUCUAUUUCUAUGGUGUGAUGAUCCUGACAUUUUUGUUCCUAAAGGUGUCGGUGUUGUUGGAUAUAUAAAUGAAGUAUUGAAAAAUGAAGGCGAGCUUAUAGCCAAGAUUCAUCGAUUGAUAAUAGCAUACAAACAACAAUCAAAGGUUAUGGAAGAACAUAAUAAGCUUAUGGACAAGGUUGAAAUUGUAAUGGCAGAACAAACUCGAUUGAAAGAAGUUUUGGUGAAUAUUAUGGACAAGAAUUACCCAACAAUGUUAGAACAAAAGCAACAAAAAUAUUGUCUUGUUGACACGUGGGUUUUGAUGAUGUUGUUCAUUGCAUUAUGAAUUGGUAGGUUCACUGCAUAGGUUGUGAAUGUAAUGAUUCUUAAUGUAGUUGUUUUAAGUUAGUUGUUGUUGAUUUUAAAUCUAAUUGUUAUGACCAUGA
RNAcentral lists this long non-coding RNA (756 nucleotides) under Cicer arietinum (chickpea). Its description in RNAcentral is "long non-coding RNA (CARI_LNC000525)". Lineage: Eukaryota; Viridiplantae; Streptophyta; Magnoliopsida; Fabales; Fabaceae. The record is from RNAcentral.